UGUUUUGUUUUAAUUCAGAAACGCAUGAUAGAGUCUUCUGAGAAGGUUGCAUUUCAACUUGAUUUAUUUCUAGUGCAAGAAUGCAAGUUCCUGGAUUCUGUUUGUACUACAUGCUUCCUUGCCUUCACCUCUAGUUCAGUAUCACCACCCCUCUGGGAAGUAUAUGAGGGGGAAUGCCAUUUUACACCCAAGGACAGUGAGGGUUAGCUUGUGCAAGAUCACUCAGUAAGAAGCAAGUGCAAGAUAAAAGCCUUCACUCCUUAAAGAGUAGUACUUUUCUCAUCAGCACAGAACCAAAAGAGGCCACGCGUAUGAGACUCCAAACAUUCUUAUUUUGAAGGUGAUUACUCGAAAUGUAAGACCUGAGCUAUGGAGGCUGUUUAUAUCGGUAACCCAACCAAUGGCCGCCUGCUUUAAAUUUGCUCAAAAUCCCCAAGGCAAGUCCUGAGCCCUGUCUCCUAUGUUUUAUGCAGAGACACCUCAAAGUAUAUUUUGCCAGACUACAAGAAUACCAAGGCCUGCCAGAUCAGAUUUUCCCAGUUACCAGAAGCUUCUCACCUCACCUCUACUUCAGCCUCUCUGAGUCAUAACCAGUCACCCUAAAACCUAGCUUCUCUGCACUUUCUGAAUAUGGAAAUGACAAUCCUGACUUAUGACACCAGGACCUGUUAAAAAGAUUGAUUUUGUAAGAAAAGUUGCAUGUAAGUUUUUGCCAGUGGGUACCAUGGUCACUUUUAUACAUAAGAGACUAGUAUGUUAGGCAAAGAAUUUGUACUCAUAUUUUUUUUUAAGUUUUAUUUAUUUAUUUUCAGAGAGAGACAGAGUGAGGGGAGGGGCAAAGAGAGGGAGAGAGAGGAUCCCAAGCAGGCUUCACAUUGUCAGCCUGGAGCCUGAUGCAGGGCUCGAACUCAUGAACCGUGAGAUCGUGACCUGAGCCGAAAUCAAGAGUCAGACGCUUAAUUGACUGAGCCACCCAGGCACCCGCCUUACUCAUGUUUCUUAAGAGAAAAAAGUAGAGUGGUCUUCUUAGAAGAACAGAUAUAAAAACACAAGAUACUGCAUCCUGGAAUCCACCCCAAGUCCAAAUCCUUUUUGGGAUCUUUUCUUGGAAGGGGUAUCUAUAGUCCUAGAACUUCUUUGGGCAUAUUUCCUCCAAAGCUCUUUUUUUUUUUUUUCCUUUCAAAGGAACCGUAGUAUGAAUACUGGAAAAUGAGAAAAUUAAAGAUGGAUCUACCAAACCAAUUGUGUGUGUGUGUGUGUGUGUGUGUGUGUGUGUGUAACCCACUUACAACACCUUUCAUCCACAGAACUAAAGGCACCAUGGAAAGGACCGCUGAGGAGAAAAACUAGGGGACUUGUGAUAACUUCCAAAGAACAAAGCCCUCACAGGCGAGGGUGAGGGCCUCAGCACAGUCUUUUCACAGAGAUGAAGAAUCGGAAGUCUAACUGGUGGCUCACCUCAGGAGGUGAUUUUAAUUGUCAUUUUCCAUAUGUUUUGUGGAGAAUUAAAAUGAUGAAAGGUAUUUCAGACGGCAGUAAUCAUGGCCACGUAACUCGGUGUUCUGGAGCUCUGGCAACUGACAAACCCCAUUUCAAACCCACUUUGACAGACUGUCGCUUGGAAUACAUUGGGAGUAUCUUGUCCUUUGUAGGUGCCUCAUAAACAUUUAUGAAAAUAAUGUCAGAAAAUGAGUUAGAGAGAUCUAUUGAGGUGUGGGUUGUGUUUCAGAAACCUUGAUGCUGAUCCUAAAACACUAAAUAACACUCCCGAGUUCUCACAUGUAUCAGGCACCAUGCCAAGUGUCUUACCACAGUGCUUUCCCAGGUGUGGUUCCCUGACCCGCAGCCUGGGCACCACCUGGGAACUUGUCAAGAAUGCAGAUGCUCUGGGGGCGCCUGGGUGGCUCAGUUGGUUUGGCGUCUGACUUCCGCUCAGGUCAUGAUCUCACCGUUCGUGGGUUCGAGCCCCGCGUCGGGCUCUGUGCUGACAGCUCAGAGCCUGGAGCCUGCUUCGGAUUCUGCGUCUCCCUCUCCCUCUGCCCCUCCCCCACUCGGGCUAUGUGUCUCUUCCUCUCAAAAAUGAAUAAAUAUUAGAAAUUAAAAUUAAAAAAAAGAAUACAGAUUCUCUAGCUCUACCCAGGCCUACUGAGUCAGAAAUGUGGGGAAUGAGCCCAACAAUCUGUGUUUUAACAACCUUCCAGGUGAUCCUGAUGAACAAUAAACUUGGAGAACCACUGCUUGA
This is a long non-coding RNA of Acinonyx jubatus (cheetah), 2242 nucleotides long. RefSeq lists it as uncharacterized. The record is from RefSeq and is a predicted model, not a curated record. NCBI's taxonomy places the organism in Eukaryota, Metazoa, Chordata, Mammalia, Carnivora, Felidae. The transcript is spliced from 2 exons.